UACGGAGGGUGCGAGCGUUGUCCGGAUUUAUUGGGUUUAAAGGAUGCGUAGGUGGCUUGUUAAGUCAGUGGUGAAAUACAGCCGCUCAACGGUUGAGGUGCCAUUGAUACUGACAAGCUUGAAACAAGUGGAGGUUGCCGGAAUGGAUGGUGUAGCGGUGAAAUGCAUAGAUAUCAUCCAGAACACCGAUUGCGAAGGCAGGUGACUACGUUUGAUUUGACACUGAGGCACGAAAGCAUGGGGAGCAAACAGGG
This 254-nucleotide ribosomal RNA is filed under the name uncultured bacterium. RNAcentral's name for it is "partial 16S ribosomal RNA". It matches the Rfam family "Bacterial small subunit ribosomal RNA", at positions 524 to 777 of the family's 1533-position model. The record is from RNAcentral.